UCUUCCUUGCGGUGCACGGGCUUCUCAUUGCAGUGGCUUCUCUUGUUGUGGAGCACGGGCUCUAGGCGCAUGGGCCUCAGUAGUUGUGGCUCGCGGGCUCUAGAGCGCAGGCUCAGUAGUUGUGGCGCACGGGCUUAGUUGCUCUGUGGCAUGUGGGAUCUUCCCAGGCCAGGGCUUGAACCCGUGUCCCCCGCAUUGGCAGGAGGAUUCUUAACCACUGCGCCACCAGGGAAGCCCUCAGUCCUUAUAUUUCUUUAAGCGUACUUCUGAACUUUCUAUUGUGUACAUUCUGGCACUGGUACCACAUAGUUUGAUCAUCUCAGAUUUAGACUAAAUGUCGCCAUUAAUUAAACGUCUUCAAAAAUGUCCUAGUACUUUUUGUAUAUUGACAGUUCCAAAAGAAAUUCGGAAUCAUUUUGUAGCAUUUAGAAGAGUUGGAAAUUGGAUUGUGUAAAAUUUAUAGGUAACUAUAGAGACAAUUAACAUCUUCAUAAUAUUUAACCUUUCAUUUCAGUAAAUUUAUAAAGUAUUAUGUUCCUUAGUAUAUUUUCUCUAGUACAGGUAAUUUUUUGUAGUUGUGGUUACUGUGGUAAAUGAGCUCUUUUGUCCAUUAUAUUUUCCAACUGCUUAUUGUUAGUAUAAAGGUACAUGACUACUUUUUUUUUAAUGAAAAUUAAAUCCAUUGAUUUUUUAAAUUUAAAAUAUUAAACAAAAGCUGUGUAAAUGGUAGCAUUAUGAAAAAACAUAAUAUGGAAACUGAAAGUCCCCCAUAAUUAAAAUCCCUCUGCCCCCAAGAUAAACAGUCAACAGUUGACACAUAGUCCUCAAAUCUUCUUUUCCUAAAGUAUGUUUUAUCAUUUUGACCAUAUGAUAGAACCCUUCUGCUGCUUGUAUUUUUCACUUGGCAAUAGAUCUUGGACAUUUCCUGUUGGUACCAUAUCAAUCUACCUCAUUCUUCUUAACUCUGCAUAGAGAGUUCUGUGGUGGUUUACUAGUUUGUUUAACUUGGCAAUUGGUUAUUUGUUUAUUUUGUAGCUAGCCAAUUACUGAAGUUCCUUUCGUUUUAAUAGUUUUGUUGUUGUUAUUGUUAAUUCUUUUGCCUUUUUCAUGUAGUUAAUAGUUCUGAGUAGUGAUGAUAACUUUACCUCCAUAUUUUUAAUAAUCUUAUUUCACUUCCUUAUCACACUGACCAGCACUUUUUGAACAAUGGUAAAUAACACCUAUAUAAGUUGUGCCGGUAUUGUACAUUCUUCUUUAUAUAUAUUUUUUACUUGGUGAGAAUACCUCUAGUGUUCCUCCAAAAGUACAAAUUUGACUCUUAGUAUGAGAUAUUCUUAAUAUUUGAAUUUAUAUAUUAAAGUUAUGCCCUCCUCUUUCUAGUUUGCUGAAAGUUUUAUCAGUAAUGGUUGUUGGAAUUUUAUUAAAUGCCUUUUUUUUUCACAUCUGUCAAGAUGGUCAAAUGGUUUUUCUUUUUUUUUUUUGCGGUACGCGGGCCUGUGGGAUCUUCCCGGAUUGGGGCACGAACCCGUGUCCCCUGCAUCGGCAGGCGGACUCUCAACCACUGCGCCAUCAGGGAAGCCCAGUUUUUCUUUAUCAUAACUUAAUAUGAAUCAUUUAAAUAGAUUUGCUAAUGUCAGACCCUGUCUGCAUUUCUAGAAAAAUCUGAUUUAGUCAUGGUAUAUUAUUCUUUCAAUAUAUGUCUCCACUCAAUGUUAACAGUGGUUAUUUAUGAUGGGUUGGUUUAUGGUAGACUUUUAUUUUUUGUUCUUAUCUGUAUUUUCUGAUUUUUCUACAUGGCUCUCAUAUUACUUGUAUAAUAAUAGUAAGAGCUUUAAAAUAAGAAAAUUACUCUGGAUUUGGUUUGCUCUUAUUAUUUUGGAAUUUUUCAAAAUUUUAGGUGGAUAGUUAUAUAAUUUUUUUUUCUGCUGUCUUUAUCAGGUAUUGGUGUUGGGUUUGUGUUAACUUCUUUAAAAAAAAAAAAAAGAACUUGGGAAGCUCUAUCUCUUUUUUUCUAUGCCCUUGAACAGUUUAAAUAAUAUUUAGAAUUUUUUGCUCCUUGAAGUUUUUAUAACAUGUAUAAAUCUGUCUAAGUCUAGUGCCUUUUUAGGAAAUAAUUCUUUGACAAUUUUUUCAAUGUUUUUCCAUGCUCAUUAGUCUCUUUAAACUUUCUUCCUUUUCUGUAAGUUUUUGGCAACUUAAACUUCCAAAGUAAUGAUUCUGUUAAGAUUUUCAAAUUUGCUAGCCUGGAGCUGUCGUAUUUUCUUUUCUUAUUCAUAACGUUCUGUGUCUGUGCUUUCCCUUUUUAUUCUGGGACUUCAAAUCUUAAUUUACUGUUUUACCAUUUUAUGAUUUUUUUUGGUUUGUUUUUGUUCUUAUUAAUUUCCUUCCUUUAUUUUAUUAUUUUUUCACCUUCUCAAGUUGAAUGCCAUUUUAGCUCUUUCCUGUUUAAUAGUAGAUAUAGUUACUAGCGCUCAUAAGGCUACAUGACUUUUCUUCUGAAUAUUUCUUUAUCCAUUUCUGUUAAAUUUUUAGCUAUGGUGUUCUAAGUUAUAAAUAACUUGUAAUUUCAUAUUUGACUUUUUUUUUUACUUGAGUUAUUUGAAAUUAACUUUUACAUUUCUAGAUAGUUUGAUACUUUUUGUUGUUGUUAUUAACAUUUGUUACAAGUGUUGUCAAAGAGGGUAUGGCCUGUACAAUUUCUGCAUUUUGGAUUUUAUUGAUGUUUUCUUGGGACUUAAUAAAUUGUUAAUUUUAAUCAAUAUUCCCAGGAAACUGGAAAAGAAGAUAUAUUCUUGGAAGGGAACAAAAUUAAAUCUGUAUGUAUUAAUUUGACCUUAUUAAUUAUAAGCUUAUGGACCUUUAAUUUUUGCUUACCUGAUUUGUUAAAGACUAAGGAAAGUGUGUUCAGACUACUAUUGUAUUUCUGUCUAUUUCUCUUGUGUUUCUAACAGUUCUUGCUUUAUGUGUUUCCGUAUGACGUUAUUUGGCAAAUUAUCUUUUUAUACUUAAGGGAAAAAAUAUUUUCCUUUAAAGACUUGUCUACCUUUGUGGAUUUUACCUGAUUUUGUUGUAACAGAGUUGUUUAUGUAGAAAUACAUAGUUCAGUAAAAUGUUUGUGUCUGUUUUUAAGUCAACAAAAAUCUUUCAGAAGCCCUUUGUGUCUUAAGAUAUUUUGGAAACUCUGGAUCUCCCCAAGGGUAGGUUGAUGUUCUCUAGGGUGACUUCCUGAGUCAAAGCAAGGAAGGCAGUGUGGGUUAAGGCACGUAAGCCUUUGGAACAGAAUUAGGGUUUGGGGUGGUUUGCCAACAUUUCCAGUGUCUGCUUCAGGGCAGCCCCGUGCUUGGUAUGGUUAGGGGUCACCUGCCCUCCAGCUGGUCACCUUCUGCCUCGAUGGGGUCAAUAUUGAAGCUUUUCUUAACCCAAGAGGCACUUUUCUUCUGCAGGGCUGGCCUUCUGAGCAGAAGGCAGCAGAGGGUAUAUGCUUAUGUUCCUGGCUGUUGGGGGAAAAGCGAAUCUCGGAGACCCAUUCUACCGGAAAAGAUUUUUCCAGAGCUAUUCAAGCAGAUUAUUCACAUGGCAAAGUCUGUGCCCGGCAGCGAACCAACUUUUCCCCAACACGUGGAGGAGGUGUGAAUCUCAACUCACAGCUCAGGAGUGAAAGAUAUACCACCUUCUCUGUUUUCCCUUCAUUCAAGUAAGUUUCUGUUUUGGGCCCUCGUUCUACCAGGCUCAUGCAGUUGGAUCUCAGUCAAUCCCAGGACUCCCUUUUCUCCAGACGUGAGUUUUCAAAGGCUGAGGGCUUGCAUAUUCCCAGGGUGGUGGGGGUCAGGGGGUCUAUGUCUGUUGAGAUGUCCCCUGUUCCUGCCCUCUCACUCCACUACCGCUGUGUCACAAGAAUUCCUCACAGGUUCCUGUGCUGCAGAAAUCUCCAUGAGGCUGUCCGAGGCCCUCUCUCCACGCAGCCAUCCCAUGUCUGGCAGCAAAGGUUUCGGGUGGAGGGUGAUUUAACUUAGAGGGACUGCUAGAUGAACCAGUGCGUGUUUGCACAAGAGAGCACGCUAGUGAGCGGAAGUGAUUCUGUGGGCACCCAUGCCCGCUUGCUUUGCAGGCCCUUGCACCUCACUUGCAGGGGGCGGGGAGGGGCUCCGGCCCAGAUCCCCACAUCAACCACCUCCCAGAGGGGCCUCCUUACACCAAUCGGGUCCUAGGCUUCCCUUCUCCAGGGCGCUUGGGAAAGUUGACCUCGCUCUUUUGCAGUAAUCGUCCCGUGAAUGAAGCUUUCCUUCCCAAUUCUUGUCUUGCUCCUGACUACUCCUUUUCCUUCCCCUCCUCCUCCUGCCCUGUAGUGUCGGGGUCUCCAAGGAUCCGGCCUGGGCCACCUUCCUGUGACAUUCUCCCCUGGCAGUUCCAAGGCUUCCCCACUCCGCCUUGUCCCAGCCUCCUGGAGUCAGUUUCCCUCUGUCCAGUGCUGCCCCCUAUCCACCUCCUGAUCCCUGACCGUGGCAUCUCCCCCCUCCAGGUGUUGGCACCAUCUGUGUCCUUGCCCUUGCUACCUGCACAAUGAGUCACCAUAUUAUGCUUCUUCCUCUGGUUAUCCCAGUCUCUUCACUCCAUCACUGCUUCUCUCACCAGACAGUCCCUAUCCUGUUCCUGAUCCCCUCACUCCAGGAUCUCCUCCAUCGUCUGGUGCCUUUUAGGUAAAGCUGCCAGAGGCCUCUUCCUAAAGCUUGAGUCAUCAGGUUCUAGCCCCCUCUCUCCAUCCUCCCCCCAUGAGGUCACACUAACCACCUUCCCUGGUCCUGCCCAGGCCUUGCUGGUGCAUCCUCUCUGUGCUCUAGUUCUUGCUCUUCCCGCUGCCGGGAAUCCUUUCCCGUUUCCAACCCCAUUUCUCUUCUUAGACCCAGCUCAAAGGCCUAGGCCCUCCAGAUUAAAAUCAGCCACUCCAUGGGGACUUCUCAUGCUUCUUAGAGAGCUCUUUUCACACUUACAGCUUUUUUUUUUUUAACAUCUUUAUUGGAGUAUAAUUGCUUUAUAAUGGUAUGUUAGUUUCUGCUUUAUAACAAAGUGAAUCAGCUAUACAUAUACAUAUGUCCCCGUAUCUCCUUCCUCUUGCAUCUCCCUCCCACCCUCCCUACGCACGUACAGCUCUUAAAUCAUUAAUUCGUGUAUUCAUUUAACAAAUAUUUCUUGAGCACCUUUAUGCCCCAGGCCCUGGGAACACAAAGGUGAAAAGACACACAUAUUUUCCACAAAUCUAUUGCAUUCCAGUGGAACCGUGAGGUGAUACAUUGCAGGUGCAAAUGGAACUCAGCUGAUGGGAGGAUUUGUGAGACUUCCCCUCAAGCAGGGCUCUCACAGGUGUUCAAGAACAGGAGUCAGGGUACAUCCUGCUUCUCCAGAGCUGGGGUGACCCUGGGCCACUCUGAAGACUUUGUGAGACAUCCAGCUCCAAGGCUUUUCGUCUUGGAAGGAACCUGCAAUGACUCUAAGUAUGCCUGCCUCACUCUUCCCUUUCACAGCCCCCUCAUUUCCUGUCUGACUUGUAUAUAUUCGUGUUUUUCUAAGGAUGGUCUGCAGACCAGCUGCUUCAGAGCUAUCUUGGGUUUCCCAGAAAAACCUCCUGGAUUAGCAUUUUUGCAGGCCAGGCCUUGCAGUAUGCAUUCUAGAAGCUCCUUGUGCUAGACAACAAGAUGAUGGCUCCCCAAGAGGUCCACAUCCUAAUCCCCAGAACCUAUGAAUGUGUUACCUUACCUGCGAGAAGGGACCUUGCAGAUGGACCUUCAGAUGGGGAGAGUUUCCUGGAUUAUCUGGGGGGGGGGCCCAAUCUAAUCACAUGAGUUCUUAAAAGCAGAGGACCUUUCCUGGCUGGGGUCAGAAAGAGAUGGUGAUGGAAGAAGAGUCAAAGAGAUACCAUGUUGCUGGCUUUGAAGAUCAAUGAAGGGGCCACAAGUCAAGGAAUGCAGGCAGCCUCUAGAAACUGGAAAAGCUUCUAGCUUCUCCCCUAGAGCUUCAAAAAGGAACACAGCCUUGUUGACACCUUGAUACUAGCCCCGUGAGACCCAUGUAGGACUUCGGACCUAUGGAACGCAGUGCUCACCGUGCGCUCUUAGAUGCGUGAAAGGCACCACGUCUCUCCUUCCUUCUCUGACUUUAAGAGCUGCAGCGUUAAAUAAAGCUGCAACGUCACACACCCAGCCCUGCUGAUCUUUCGGGGUGUUAUGUGGCCAGUCUACCAGCACCCCAUGCACAUCCUUUUCCAGAACGAGCCUUGGGCCUUGGCGAAGAGGCUAACGGUCCCACUCGCCGGGGUUCUGCUCAUCACGAUCGUCGUCCUCCGAGUCAGCAGAUACUCUCUUAAUUCUCUGGAGCGCCGCCUUGAUGCUUCUCUCCAGGUCGCUGGAGUAAUAAGACAAAGUUUCACCAUCGAGGGCAUUUUAUUAUUCUUUCCAGUGAACUGAGGCAGUGUGUGUGAGCUGAUCAGGGCUUCCUACACCGUGGGCUACACCAGGCCGGCAACAGGGCUCCCCCCGACAAAGCCCUGCCACGUCCCAUCUCUCGUCUAG
Molecule: long non-coding RNA, 6563 nt
Organism: Lagenorhynchus albirostris (white-beaked dolphin)
Lineage: Eukaryota; Metazoa; Chordata; Mammalia; Artiodactyla; Delphinidae
Exons: 3
Source: RefSeq, a predicted model, not a curated record